Molecule: long non-coding RNA, 8240 nt
Filed under: Oryza sativa (Asian cultivated rice)
Lineage: Eukaryota; Viridiplantae; Streptophyta; Magnoliopsida; Poales; Poaceae
Description: long non-coding RNA (OSAT_LNC001313)
Source: RNAcentral
CAAUAGUCAGAGUCUAUGUAAUAAUGUGAUCCCCAUUUGUGUACUAGUUGAACUAAGCAUGGCUAAGCAUUUCCUAAGCCAACAUCUAGUCAUUUUGAUACCCAAGUUAUCAAUGGCAUAAGGUAACCAAUAUGUGGCUGAGGAAUAGGACCCAUCCCACAUUACAUUGUAAAAGAAUGCAACAUUUAAUAGAAAUGCGGGAUAUUUGUAAAUUGGGUACAAUAUGAUCAAACGUAUUGCAUGACUUGCCUUGCUCUCGAACUGAUGAGACCUCAGCAACGUCUUCGAGAAACCGCGGAUCGACGAAACGGCCGAAACCUACGCGACAAACAAAGCACACAAGCAAAACAUGCUAUAAGACUACUGAAACAGGAAACAAAACCAUUUUUAGUGGAUUCUUUGCAUUUUUCUUGAUUUACUGAGACUUGAAUGGACUUAAACGGAGCUCGGAUGAAUUACUUAAGAAUUUUAGAAGAUAAACUGUGUUUUUACUAAUAAAGAAAAAGCCUUAAUCAUUUUAUUGCGCAAUAAAGCCCAGGGCUGACGUCAGCGAAAGGGGGGGUGCCGGCACGUGGGCCCCACGGGUCAGCGGCUCCAAAGGGAGGGAGGUGGUGCCUGGCAGGUGGGCCCCACCAGGUGGUGGCUCAAAGGGGAGGCGAGGGAGGCGCCGGCCAGGCUCAGCUCGGCCUCAAGGCCGACCGGCCGACCAAGGCGAGGCGGCGGCGAGGCACGGCCACCGACGGCGGUGACCGGCGACGACGACCCGACGAGAGGACGGGCGGACGAGCAGCACCGACACCUAGAGGAGGGGAGGAGAGGAGUUAGGGAUGGAGAAGGCGACCGCGACGACCAAAGUGGCUGGCCGGAGACGGAGGGGAAUGGAUAGCUCACCGGCUCGCGAGGGAGAUGGGGUUCCGGUGGGGUUCGGGCGACGCGAGGCGGUGGCCGAGAUGGCCCACACGGCGGCGGAGCUAGCGGCGGCGGUGGCUUGGCGCGGCGGCGGCGGCGGAGCUCGGCGAGCGCGGCGCGACGGCAGUAGAAGGCAUGGGAGAGGACGGUGAAUGGGGGAAAUGAGAGAGAGAGCUCGAGUGAGGGUUUUUAUGGGCGAGGGAGGGGCAGAAACGGCCGGGGAUGGCCCCUAUUUGGCCGGCGACGUGGAGAGGUGGAGGAGAGAGAGAGAGGGUGUUGGGGGAUUUCAAAUCCCCCACCACUUGCGGGCGCGCGCGCGCGGGAGAUGCGGGGGAGAGGGCGGCGACGUGGGUGCGAGGUGCGGGCGCGGAGUGGAGGCGCGACGUGGAGCGGAGAAGGCGGCGGCGUGGGCGGUUGGAGCUCCGGCUCCAACGACCGGAGGUAGGGGACGACCGACAGGUGGGCCCCACCUAUCGGCACCCGAAAGAGAAAGGGAGGGAGGGAGGACUUCGGGGAGGGGAAAGGAGGAGCGGGCCGGCCCAGGAAAGGGGUGCCGAGCGCGGGGAGAGAGAUGGGCCGACGGCCCAUCUAGUGAAAAAGGAAGGAAAAGAAAAAGAAAAAGAGGAGAAGGAUUUUCCUGGGAUUAAAUAUUGCACUUUGGUGAUUUUUAAUUGGUUAAAAUUAUUUCUAAGGCUCUGAAAAUUCCACUAAAAAUCUUGUUAAUGCAUUGGAGCAUGGGGAACUCAAGAAAAAUUCCACCACGCUAUUUCCGAUUAUUAAUUGCAUUUAUUAAUUAUGGAGUUAGCUCUAGGUUAAUUAAGAUAAUUUCUUCAGGCAAUUUAUUUAACCAAUUUUUAAAGCAAGAAAAAGGGGGAAACUUCUGGGCGUGACAAACCUACCCCCCUUAAACGGAAUCUCGACCCCGAGAUUCGGAAGAGCUGGCGAAGAGGUGCGGGUGGGCGGCCUUCAACUCAUCUUCUCUUUCCCAAGUGGCUUCUUCCUCUGAGUGGUGGCUCCACUGAACCUUGCAGAAUCUUAUUACUUUGUUUCUGGUCCUUCUCUCGCUGGUUUCGAGGAUACGAGUCGGCUUCUCCACAUAUGUCAGAUCUUCCUGAAUUUCGGUGUGAUCCGGACUUGCCUGUUCCUCAGGAACUCUCAAACAUUUCUUCAACUGAGAGACGUGGAACACGUUGUGGAUGCCAAGCAUGUUGGAGGGAAGCUCAAGCUGGUAAGCAACUUCACCUCUACGUUCCAAGAUCCUGUAUGGUCCCAUAAAGCGUGGUGCCAACUUUCCUUUGGUCUGGAAGCGAUGUACUCCCCUGAGCGGAGUGAUACGGAGAUACACAUAAUCCCCUGUUUCGAAAGCGAGCUCCCUUCGGCGGUUGUCUGCAUAGCUUUUCUGCCGAGAUUGCGCGAUUCUCAAUCUUUCCCUAAUAGCUCUGACGUUCUCUUCUGCCUCAUUUAAAACUUCUGUACCAAACAACUGGCGUUCCCCUGUCUGAUCCCAGAAGAGCGGAGUACGACACCUUCGUCCAUACAGUGCUUCAAACGGUGCCAUCUGUAGACUAGCUUGGUAACUGUUGUCGUAAGAGAACUCAGCAUACGGCAAGCUUUUGUCCCAUGCUCCACCAAAGUCAAGCGCACAGGCUCUCAACAUAUCCUCUAGUAUUUGAUUGACUCGCUCGGUCUGGCCAUCCGUUUGUGGAUGGUAAGCAGUGCCGAAAUUCAACCGGGUUCCCAAUUCUUCUUGUAAUUUCUGCCAGAACUUUGAAGUAAAUUGGUUUCCUCGAUCAGACACGAUCUUCUUAGGUACACCAUGUAAACACAUAAUUCUUGCCAGAUAGAGUUCUGCUAAUUUCUUCCCUGAGUAGGUAGUGUGCACCGGAAUGAAGUGAGCCACUUUGGUGAGUCGGUCAACGACUACCCAAACAGAAUCAUGCCCCGAUGACGUUCUGGGCAAACCGGUGAUGAAAUCCAUUCCGAUUUCUUCCCACUUCCAUUCUGGAAUCUGAAGUGGCUGUAGCAAACCUGCUGGCCUUUGGUGUUCUGCCUUUACUCGUUGACAGACGUCAUAGAGUGCUACGAAUUCAGCUAUUUCCCUUCUCAUGCUGACCCACCAAAACUUCUCUUUGAGGUCUUGGUACAUCUUUGUACUACCGGGAUGAAUGAAAUAUUGAGUUUGAUGAGCCUCGGUUAGUAUCAGGUCUUUUAAUUCCUUGUUUUCGGGUACACACAAUCUUUCUCCCAUCCAGAUUGUUCCUUGUUCAUCCUCAACAGAACCUCGGGCUUUUCCAACUCUCAUGUUCUUUUUGAGCUCUGCUAUUUCAGGAUCACUUGCUUGAGCUAUGCGAACCUGCUCCACCAGUGUGGGCUGUGCCUCUAGGGCAACCACGAAUCCGUGCUCAACUAUACCAAGGUUCAGAUGUUCCAAAUCGCGUUGAACCUCACAACAUAGUUGCUCUACCCAUGCAACAUUGCAGUAGCUCUUCCUGCUCAAGGCAUCUGCAACCACAUUAGCCUUGCCGGGAUGAUAAUGUAUUCCCAUAUCAUAAUCCUUGAUCAGCUCCAACCAUCUUCGCUGUCUGAGAUUCAAAUCAGGUUGAGUGAAGAUGUACUUUAGACUUUUGUGAUCUGUAUAUACCUCACAACGGUUACCGAUGAGAUAGUGCCGCCAAAUCUUUAAAGCAUGAACAACUGCGGCCAAUUCUAGAUCAUGCGUCGGGUAGUUGCUAGUGCCGCCAAAUCUUUAAAGCAUGAACAACUGCGGCCAAUUCCAGAUCAUGCGUCGGGUAGUUGCCUUCAUGAGGACGCAACUGCCGUGAAGCAUAAGAAACCACUUUGCCAUCCUGCAUCAACACACAUCCUAGCCCCUGGCGAGAUGCAUCACAAUAGACCUGGAAAUCUUUCGUCUGAUCAGGCUGGAUUAAGACUGGUGCAGACACCAACCGUCGUUUGAGUUCUUCAAAACUCCUAUUGCAUUCAGCAGACCAGAUAAACUUUUCUUCCUUCUUCAAUAGCUGUGUCAUUGGCUUAGCAAUUUUAGAGAAGUUCUCAAUGAACCGGCGGUAAUAGCCCGCAAGUCCUAAGAAACUCCGAACCUGAGUGACUGUCCUUGGUGGGGUCCAUUUGGUAACUGACUCCACAUUUGCUGGAUCCACAGCUACUCCUUGAGCAUUCACGAUGUGACCGAGAAACUGAACUUCCUUAAGCCAGAAGUCGCACUUGCUGAACUUGGCAUAUAGCUGGUGCUCUUUUAACUUUUCAAGUACCAGCCGAAGAUGCUGCUCAUGUUCUUCCUCGGACUUGGAGUAGAUAAGUAUGUCAUCGAUGAAAACCACGACAAACUUGUCUAGAAAUUCCAUAAACACCUUGUUCAUCAAAUUCAUGAAGAAGGCAGGUGUAUUAGUGAGUCCGAAAGACAUAACUGUGCAUUCGAACAACCCGUACCGAGUGAUGAAUGCUGUCUUUGGAAUAUCCUCUUCGCGGAUCCUCAACUGGUGAUAGCCUGAUCGCAGGUCUAUCUUAGAGAACACAGUAGCUCCUUUCAACUGAUCAAACAGAUCAUCAAUCCUUGGCAAAGGAUACUUGUUCUUGAUGGUGACCUUAUUGAGUGCGCGGUAGUCAACGCACAUCCUCUUGGUUUUGUCUUUCUUCUCCACAAAGAUAACCGGAGCACCCCAAGGCGACGUGCUCGGGCGGAUGUAUCCCUUCUGUAACUGUUCAUCGACUUGCUUCUUGACUUCCGCCAACUCGUUGGCUCCCAUUCUGUAAGGCCUCUUGUGGAUCGGUGCAGUUCCAGGUACCAAGUCAAUCCGGAACUCGAUAUCCCUCUUUGGUGGCAUUGUUGUCAGAUCGUCCGGAAAAACCUCUGGAUACUCUCUGACUAUGGGAAUAUCCUCUAGCUUCUUAGUGGUUUUCUCCACUGCUACCUCUUGUUCUUCACCAGCAGCCUGGUUUAAACUGAUCCCUGGCUUCUGCGGCACUAGAGACUGGAAGGUUACCACCUCUCCUUUUGCAUUGGUCAACUUGAUGGUGCGGCUGGCGCAAUCAAUCACUCCUCUGUGCCUUGUCAACCAAUCCAUUCCAAGUAUGACAUCUAGGUCCUUGGAUUCGAGAAGAAUGAGGUGGGCUGGAAAAAUCAACCCUUGAAUUUCAACUGUCACAGAUGGGCAGUAGUGAGUUGUGGUCAUGCCACCUCCAGGAGUAUGAACUCGCAUUGGUAUCUUAAGCUUCACUAAAGAUAACCCAUGUGCACCAGCAAAACGCUUGGAAAUGAAGGAAUGGGUUGCACCAGAAUCAAACAAUAUUACUGCCGGUGUCGAGUUGACGGGGAAUGUGCCCAAUAUAACCUCUGGUGCUGACUGCACCUCCUCUGCAGAUGCAUGAUUAACACGGGCCUGAACGAACUUGGGUCCAGCACGUCUUGGCUUCGGGCACUUUCCAACCGUGUGUCCGGGUUUGUUACAAUUGAAGCAGAGUUCGGGUUUUUCUCCCAACCUCUUGGGCUGUUCUGGCAAAGGUGGCUGAACUGAUUGGGCUGGAAUCUUUAGUGAACUCGGAGUAGGGUUGAGGCUGUGCUACUCACUGUUGUUGUGACUGCCACUAUGGUGGUUCUUGUUGAAGCUACCCGGGUGGUAGGGACGGUGCUGUCGGAUAAUCAUGGUGGAAGGUCCACCCUGAUAUCCCAUUGUGAAACGAGGCUUCUAACACUUCCCCUGGGGAGUCCUGAACUAGGCUGCCUUCCUCUUACGGUUCAUUUUGUUAGACUGCUCCUCUUGACGAAUAGCCUUGUCCACAAGCUUCUCAAAGUCCUCAUAGUCUCUAGAGAUCAACUGGUUGGUCAAUUCAUCAUCAAGACCAGACAUAAACUUCUCCUGCUUCUCGGCAUCGGUACGCACGUCCUCAGGGGCGUAGCGCGCGAGGCGGUUGAACUCAUGCAAAUACUCUAUAACUGUUCUGGUUCCUUGUUGCAGGGAAUGGAACUCUCUCUUCUUUUGCGCCACAACUCCCUCGGGAACCUGGGCUUUAUUGAAACUAUGACAAAACUCUGUCCAAGUAACCUCUGCCCCAGCUGGACGGGUCACCAUGUAGUUGUCCCACCAAACAGAAGCGGGGCCUUGCAGCUGGUAUGUAGCAAAAGCAACCUUCUCUUGCUCGUUGCAUUGCAAAAGAUUCAGCUUCUUCUCAAUGGCAUGAAGCCAGUCGUGGGCCUCGAUUGGGUUGGUGGUGCUUGAGAAGGUGGGCGGCUUGACACGAAGAAAUUCUAACAGUUUGGACUGAGGAGGUGGAGGACCAAACUGCAGGUUCUGCUGCUGCUGCUGUGCUUGCUGCUGCACCUGCUGCAACACCUGAUGGUACUGUUGCUGCAUCUGUUGCAUCAUCAUUGUCAUUAUCUGAGUCUGAUUGUUCAACACCUGAGCAAUUGUUGGGUUCUCAGGCGAUGGGGACGGACUGUUGUCAGAUGCACUGUUGGCACGUGCUCCAUUGAUCGGCUCUUCGCUGCCACUGGCAUUGUUGGAGUCCCGUUAACCAUUCCUUGUCUCCAUCUGAAGGGGAUAGGGAGAAAUAUGAGAAAAGGAAGAAAAACAGGGGGCUUAGAAACUAAUCUUGCUUAUGAAUUUAAGUGUAAUUAUCUUAAUCUUGAUUAAAACACUGAAAAAGAGGCACGCAACUCCUAAUUGAGGCAGUCAUACCACUGACACAUGAUAUCGACCGCCGACUAACCCACAAGCAACAAACCUAAACUGAGCUAAUUUUAAAACCCCCAAAUAGAUUUUUUUUUCUAAAACCCUACACUGAGCUAAUUUUAAAAAUCCGAUCCGAAUGAACGACCAAGAUUUUUCCCACAAACCAAAGAGGCAAAACCCCAAAUUUUCCUGAAACAAAUCCAAGUGCAAAAGAGCAUAUGCAUAUGAAAAAAAAGGGUUCAGAGGGCUCUUAGGUUUCCAGUUGGCUUGUCCUACGGUCAAGGUCGGCUCUGAUACCAACUUGUCACACCCAGAAAUUCUCGAACCAGAAUUUCUAAGCUGAUUGUGCAUUAAAUCCCUGUCCAGGACCAGCCAGGGUACACAAACGACAUUUGUUGACAUACAGACCCACGUCUUACAAAAAUAUAAAAGAUUACAAAUGCAGCGAGAAAGAUAAAAGCGAGCUAAACCGGGAAGCUUGACUUCAGCAGCGGGCGACCCCACUCCACAGGCAAACCUUGACGGCAGCGACGAAACCAACCUCUCUGAGGCGGCUCCAUCUGAGAAGAACUUCAACUCUGGUGUGGGGGAAAAGAGAGCAAGACUGAGUACUACCCACUGUACUCAGCAAGUCAUACCGGAAAAGGAGGUAUGAUGCAGGAUAUAACCAAAGGAAGCUAGGUGUUCUUUUGCAAAAAGCAGGCAUUUCAAACCAGUAGUUGAAAGCAGUAAAACAGCUGUAGUAAUUAAUCAAUUUUAACCAAUCACUGUCCAACGCUACACCACGUUGCAACAAGCCCAACCAACCACCUGAACUACACCAGUUCAUUACGCUAAACUAGGGGUGAGACUAAUCACGGUAAAUCUGGUUGAUCACCCAUAACCGCGGGCACGGCUAUUCGAAUAGUUUUACUCUCGCCAGAGGUGUACAACUGUACCCACAAGACACGAUUCCACACAUGUCGCCAUGCCCCGAAGUAUCACCAUGAUACUGCAAAGGGGGAAAUCGUGACAAGAUCCUCCACCUAACCCUCCCCUAACCAUCCACACCACGCUAAGGUUUCACCCCCACCCCUCAAAAGGCAGUGGGCGGUCCCCUCUUGCGCCGCGGUGAAUCCGGCAGCUGGACAACCGAACACCUCGGCCGACCCAACUCCAUCACGCCCACCCUCACCACCGGUGCCUAGGAAAGGGUCGAGCUAUACUUCAGAUCAAGCAGUUACCCACUCCCGCUUGUGGUCAGCACGGUAAGUCUCCCAGGGUUUCCCGUGAACCGGUCCUUAACUGCCAUGGGUGCGACCAGCAAAACCAUGCACUCACAGCCCGCCAUUCAGAAUAUUUUAAUUAACUGACACCCUUGCGGUGGCGCCAAUCUAAAGCUAUGCCAAUAGUCAGAGUCUAUGUAAUAAUGUGAUCCCCAUUUGUGUACUAGUUGAACUAAGCAUGGCUAAGCAUUUCCUAAGCCAACAUCUAGUCAUUUUGAUACCCAAGUUAUCAAUGGCAUAAGGUAACCAAUAUGUGGCUGAGGAAUAGGACCCAUCCCACAUUACAUUGUAAAAGAAUGCAACAUUUAAUAGAAAUGCGGGAUAUUUGUAAAUUGGGUACAAUAUGAUCAAACGUAUUGCAUGACUUGCCUUGCUCUCG